RNAcentral lists this long non-coding RNA (664 nucleotides) under Bos taurus (domestic cattle). Its description in RNAcentral is "long non-coding RNA NONBTAT014147". Lineage: Eukaryota; Metazoa; Chordata; Mammalia; Artiodactyla; Bovidae. The record is from RNAcentral.
GGGAGUGAGGGGAGGACGAAGUGCCAUAAGCACUUUUCCUGUGAUUGUUUUAUGUGCUGCUCACUUUUUAAUCUCUAGUGUUUUCUCUGGAAACCGGCCCUCUACUUGACUUAAAAUGCCAGCACCCAUAUAGGAAAGCAGAUGUAAUUUUGCCAAAUGCCUUUUUAAUCAUCAAGGACUGGUUUCUUCUGAGCGGAAAUGUACCUUGGGACAGCAUGCAGUGUGGGCACCCUGCUCAAGCGUGCUGUCCCCCCGCUGUUGGGGAUGAGUGUGCAGGGCGAGUGUGCGAGUUGGCAGACAGUGUCCUCUGAAGAUUUAUCCCGGCUCUGAUUUCAGACGCAUGGGACAGGUAUGAGUCUUCUGGAUGUUUGACAGUGCAGACUUUUGAAACUAAACUCGAGCAUAAUUUUAGUCACUAGGUUUUGCUCUGUCAAGUUAAAAGCUUUGUGCACCAUCUGACACUGGAAUUAAGCGCAAAGCAUGUUAGAUACAGGGAGAUGUGGGGAGGGAAAGGUCACACUGUUUUUAGCUAGUUUCUAAAGGCCAGCUUAAUGGGAGUUGGCCCUGCAACGUUCCAUUCUGUUCUUUUCCAUUCUUUUCUAGGAAUAGCCCCUGCUUAUUUUUAGGUUGUUACGUAAGAAGUAUAAAAUGCAUUUGCUUUAGU